RNAcentral lists this ribosomal RNA (1077 nucleotides) under uncultured archaeon. RNAcentral's name for it is "bacterial SSU rRNA". It matches the Rfam family "Archaeal small subunit ribosomal RNA", at positions 327 to 1408 of the family's 1478-position model. The record is from RNAcentral.
GGGGCGCAGCAGGCGCGAACCUUUACACUGCACGACAGUGCGAUAAGGGGACUCCGAGUGCGAGGGCAUACAGUCCUCGCUUUUUCUGUACCGUAAGGUGGUACAGGAACAAGUGCUGGGCAAGACCGGUGCCAGCCGCCGCGGUAAUACCGGCAGCACGAGUGAUGGCCGCUAUUAUUGGGCUAAAGCGUCCGUAGCCGGCCGAGCAAGUUCGUUGGGAAAUCUGCCCGCUUAACGGGCAGGCGUCCGGCGAAAACUGUUCGGCUUGGGGCCGGGAGAUCUGAGGGGUACGUCCGGGGUAGGAGUGAAAUCCCGUAAUCCUGGACGGACCACCGGUGGCGAAAGCGCCUCAGAAAAACGGACCCGACGGUGAGGGACGAAAGCUAGGGUCUCGAACCGGAUUAGAUACCCGGGUAGUCCUAGCCGUAAACGAUGCUCGCUAGGUGUGGCGCAGGCUACGAGCCUGCGCUGUGCCGUAGGGAAGCCGUGAAGCGAGCCGCCUGGGAAGUACGUCUGCAAGGAUGAAACUUAAAGGAAUUGGCGGGGGAGCACUACAACCGGAGGAGCCUGCGGUUUAAUUGGACUCAACGCCGGACAUCUCACCAGCACCGACAGUGUGCAGUGAAGGUCAGGUUGAUGACCUUACUGGAGCCACUGAGAGGAGGUGCAUGGCCGCCGUCAGCUCGUACCGUGAGGCGUCCUGUUAAGUCAGGCAACGAGCGAGACCCGCAUCCCUAGUUGCCAGCAGCAACCUUGUGUUGGCUGGGUACACUAGGGAGACUGCCGCUGCCAAAGCGGAGGAAGGAACGGGCAACGGUAGGUCAGUAUGCCCCGAAUGUGCUGGGCAACACGCGGGCUACAAUGGCCGGGACAGUGGGACGCGACCCCGAGAGGGAGAGCUAAUCUCCUAAACCCGGUCGUAGUUCGGAUUGCGGACUGAAACUCGUCCGCAUGAAGCUGGAUUCGGUAGUAGUCGCGUGUCAUUAGCGCGCGGCGAAUACGUCCCUGCUCCUUGCACACACCGCCCGUCAAAGCACCCGAGUGAGGUCCGGAUGAGGCCACCAUGCGGUGGUGAAU